Molecule: unclassified non-coding RNA, 433 nt
Filed under: uncultured Russula
Lineage: Eukaryota; Fungi; Basidiomycota; Agaricomycetes; Russulales; Russulaceae
Description: sequence contains ITS2
Rfam family: 5.8S ribosomal RNA (bases 1-154)
Source: RNAcentral
AACUUUCGACAACGGAUCACUUGGCUCUCGCAUCGAUGAAGAACGCAGCGAAAUGCGAUACGUAAUGAGAAUUGCAGAAUUCAGUGAAUCAUCGAAUCUUUGAACGCACCUUGCGCCCCUUGGAAUUCCGAGGGGCACACCCGUUUGAGUGUCGUGAACAUCCUUCAACCUUUCUUGGUUUCUUGACCGGGGAAGGCUUGGACUUUGGGGGUCUUUCAUUGCUGGCCUCUUUGAAGCCAGCUCCUCCUAAAUGGAUUAGUGUGGUCUGCUUUGCCGAUCCUUGACGUGAUAAGAUGUUUCUACGUCUUGGGUUUCGCACUGUCGCUUUAGACCCCGCUUCUAACCGUCUUGCAUUCAAGACAGAGUUUUAAACCUUGACCUCAAAUCGGGUGAGACUACCCGCUGAACUUAAGCAUAUCAAUAAGCGGAGGCU